AGCCUUCAGCUUCCAGGGAGAAGAGAAACGAUUUAUUUCCCGUAACCCUUACGUUAAUUUCCAACUCCCAUAACUUCUCCGUCCGAGCUCCAAUCGCCGCACCGUUUGCGGCCACGCGUUCACCGCGUCGAGCUCUACGUUUCUACCGAAACAAUUUCAUAGGAUCCAAUUAGCUUGAGGGAAACGUUCACUCUUGCUUAUGUGAAGCUUGGGUAAGAUUGUGAAUAAAUAAUUGGAGCUUGAAAUUGUGAAUAUUGGAACUUGGAGGAAGCUGAUUAGUUGAAUUUUGAAGGGGCUGCCUUGGUUUUAAAUAAUUUGCUUUGGUCGUUACGUGGAAAUCGGCCAAGAUGCAGGUCGAAAGGCAUCUCGUUAGGCGUCUGGACUCUUGAGGCGGAGUGGUUACUGGGAUAUUUUGUUAUGCUAUGAUGUAUAUAUAUGUACUUAGUUUUCUCUCCGCAUGACUUAUUUUUUUUUAUCCUCUUAGAGGUUUAUGGAGAGGCAGGAUUGUGUAUAUGUACUUUUGGGUUUUGGAUAUGUAUGUAUAUAUGUGUAAAUAUUCUCCGGCCAGUCUUGACUUCGCAGGCUGAGUUAGGAGCUUGGUAUUUUGUAUCUUUGGCACUCUAUUCCCACUUCUAUUAUCUUGUGUUUAAUA
Long non-coding RNA from Arachis stenosperma, 652 nucleotides. RefSeq lists it as uncharacterized. The record is from RefSeq and is a predicted model, not a curated record. The transcript has 4 exons. Lineage: Eukaryota; Viridiplantae; Streptophyta; Magnoliopsida; Fabales; Fabaceae.